This 537-nucleotide ribosomal RNA is filed under the name Pseudoalteromonas phenolica. RNAcentral's name for it is "bacterial SSU rRNA". It matches the Rfam family "Bacterial small subunit ribosomal RNA", at positions 85 to 624 of the family's 1533-position model. The record is from RNAcentral. Lineage: Bacteria; Pseudomonadati; Pseudomonadota; Gammaproteobacteria; Alteromonadales; Pseudoalteromonadaceae.
AAGAUGACGAGCGGCGGACGGGUGAGUAAUGCUUGGGAAUAUGCCUUAGGGUGGGGGACAACAGUUGGAAACGACUGCUAAUACCGCAUAACGUCUACGGACCAAAGGGGGCUUCGGCUCUCGCCCUUAGAUUAGCCCAAGUGGGAUUAGCUAGUUGGUGAGGUAAUGGCUCACCAAGGCGACGAUCCCUAGCUGGUUUGAGAGGAUGAUCAGCCACACUGGAACUGAGACACGGUCCAGACUCCUACGGGAGGCAGCAGUGGGGAAUAUUGCACAAUGGGCGCAAGCCUGAUGCAGCCAUGCCGCGUGUGUGAAGAAGGCCUUAGGGUUGUAAAGCACUUUCAGUAAGGAGGAAAGGUUAGUAGUUAAUACCUGCUAGCUGUGACGUUACUUACAGAAGAAGCACCGGCUAACUCCGUGCCAGCAGCCGCGGUAAUACGGAGGGUGCGAGCGUUAAUCGGAAUUACUGGGCGUAAAGCGUACGCAGGCGGUUUGUUAAGCGAGAUGUGAAAGCCCCGGGCUCAACCUGGGAACUGC